AAUCAACGCUGGCGGCGUGCCUAACACAUGCAAGUCGAACGCGGUUGUCCCGCAAGGGGCAACUGAGUGGCAAACGGGUGAGUAACACGUGGGUGACCUGCCUUCGAGUGGGGGAUAACGUUUCGAAAGGAACGCUAAUACCGCAUGACAUCCUGCCUUUGGACAGGCGGAGAUCAAAGCUGGGGAUCGUAAGACCUGGCGCUUGGAGAGGGGCCCGCGUCCGAUUAGCUAGUUGGUGGGGUAACGGCUCACCAAGGCGACGAUCGGUAUCCGGCCUGAGAGGGCGGACGGACACACUGGGACUGAGACACGGCCCAGACUCCUACGGGAGGCAGCAGUGGGGAAUUGUUCGCAAUGGGCGCAAGCCUGACGACGCAACGCCGCGUGGAGGAUGAAGGUCUUCGGAUUGUAAACUCCUGUUGAUCGGGACGAACAACCGCCGGGAUAACACCCUGGCGGUCUGACGGUACCGAUUGAGGAAGCCCCGGCUAACUCUGUGCCAGCAGCCGCGGUAAUACAGAGGGGGCAAGCGUUGUUCGGAAUUACUGGGCGUAAAGGGCGCGUAGGCGGCCGCCUAAGUCAGACGUGAAAUCCCUCGGCUCAACCGGGGAACUGCGUCUGAUACUGGGUGGCUUGAAUCCGGGAGAGGGAUGCGGAAUUCCAGGUGUAGCGGUGAAAUGCGUAGAUAUCUGGAGGAACACCGGUGGCGAAGGCGGCAUCCUGGACCGGCAUUGACGCUGAGGCGCGAAAGCCAGGGGAGCAAACGGGAUUAGAUACCCCGGUAGUCCUGGCCCUAAACGAUGAGUGCUUGGUGUGGCGGGUAUCGAUCCCUGCCGUGCCGAAGCUAACGCAUUAAGCACUCCGCCUGGGGAGUACGGUCGCAAGGCUGA
RNAcentral lists this ribosomal RNA (890 nucleotides) under uncultured Acidobacteriota bacterium. Its description in RNAcentral is "bacterial SSU rRNA". It matches the Rfam family "Bacterial small subunit ribosomal RNA", at positions 28 to 897 of the family's 1533-position model. The record is from RNAcentral. Lineage: Bacteria; Pseudomonadati; Acidobacteriota.